RNAcentral lists this ribosomal RNA (228 nucleotides) under Escherichia coli. RNAcentral describes it as "partial 16S ribosomal RNA". It matches the Rfam family "Bacterial small subunit ribosomal RNA", at positions 1 to 225 of the family's 1533-position model. Lineage: Bacteria; Pseudomonadati; Pseudomonadota; Gammaproteobacteria; Enterobacterales; Enterobacteriaceae. RNAcentral also lists the same sequence under 1 other name. The record is from RNAcentral.
AAAUUGAAGAGUUUGAUCAUGGCUCAGAUUGAACGCUGGCGGCAGGCCUAACACAUGCAAGUCGAACGGUAACAGGAAGCAGCUUGCUGUUUCGCUGACGAGUGGCGGACGGGUGAGUAAUGUCUGGGAAACUGCCUGAUGGAGGGGGAUAACUACUGGAAACGGUAGCUAAUACCGCAUAACGUCGCAAGACCAAAGAGGGGGACCUUCGGGCCUCUUGCCAUCGGA